RNAcentral lists this unclassified non-coding RNA (183 nucleotides) under Basidiomycota sp. Its description in RNAcentral is "partial contains small subunit ribosomal RNA, internal transcribed spacer 1, and 5.8S ribosomal RNA". The stretch from base 1 to 47 matches the Rfam family "Eukaryotic small subunit ribosomal RNA", at positions 1785 to 1831 of the family's 1831-position model. The record is from RNAcentral. Lineage: Eukaryota; Fungi; Basidiomycota.
AAAGUCGUAACAAGGUUUCCGUAGGUGAACCUGCGGAAGGAUCAUUAGAAAUUGGGAUGGAAUAUAUUUGAACACUGUAGGUAUUGGAGCAUUAGCCAAAAUACAAACAGCAAAGACACAUUUUACAUUGACAAAAAGAAAGAUUUAUAUGAGCACCUUGCUGCAAUGGAUCUCUCGGCUCUU